RNAcentral lists this ribosomal RNA (232 nucleotides) under uncultured bacterium. RNAcentral's name for it is "partial 16S ribosomal RNA". It matches the Rfam family "Bacterial small subunit ribosomal RNA", at positions 99 to 334 of the family's 1533-position model. The record is from RNAcentral.
CGGACGGGUGAGUAAUACUCAGGAAUCUGCCCAUUAGUGGGGGACAACAUUCGGAAACGGAUGCUAAUACCGCAUACGCCCUACGGGGGAAAGCGGGGGAUCUUCGGACCUCGCGCUAAUGGAUGAGCCUAAGUCGGAUUAGCUUGUUGGUGAGGUAAUGGCUCACCAAGGCGACGAUCCGUAGCUGGUCUGAGAGGACGAUCAGCCACACUGGGACUGAGACACGGCCCAG